CUACGGGUUGCUGCAGUGGGGAAUAUUGCACAAUGGGCGAAAGUCUGAUGCAGCAACGCCGCGUGGAGGAUGACACAUUUCGGUGCGUAAACUCCUUUUAUAUAAGAAGAUAAUGACGGUAUUAUAUGAAUAAGCACCGGCUAACUCCGUGCCAGCAGCCGCGGUAAUACGGGGGGUGCAAGCGUUACUCGGAAUCACUGGGCGUAAAGCGCAUGUAGGCGGACUUGUAAGUUGGAAGUGAAAUCCUAUGGCUCAACCAUAGAACUGCUUCCAAAACUGCUUGUCUAGAAUAUGGGAGAGGUAGAUGGAAUUUCUGGUGUAGGGGUAAAAUCCGUAGAGAUCAGAAGGAAUACCGAUUGCGAAGGCGAUCUACUGGAACAUUAUUGACGCUCAGAUGCGAAAGCGUGGGGAGCAAACAGGAUUAGAUACCCUUGUAGUC
RNAcentral lists this ribosomal RNA (439 nucleotides) under uncultured bacterium. Its description in RNAcentral is "partial 16S ribosomal RNA". It matches the Rfam family "Bacterial small subunit ribosomal RNA", at positions 339 to 795 of the family's 1533-position model. The record is from RNAcentral.